Molecule: transfer-messenger RNA, 365 nt
Filed under: Hyphococcus luteus
Lineage: Bacteria; Pseudomonadati; Pseudomonadota; Alphaproteobacteria; Parvularculales; Parvularculaceae
Description: Marinicaulis flavus Alphaproteobacteria transfer-messenger RNA
Rfam family: Alphaproteobacteria transfer-messenger RNA
About the family: Bacterial tmRNA, also known as 10Sa RNA or SsrA, is named for its dual tRNA and mRNA-like properties. Its role is to liberate the mRNA from a stalled ribosome.
Source: Rfam by way of RNAcentral
GCUCUUUAAAUUUUCACCCGUCGCGCCUAUAUUCGAAGGGCCCGCGCAAGCGGGCUAUGGCGAUAAAUGACCCGUGCAAUAACCGUAUCGGACCCGGGGGCGGUACCCGGCGGCUCCACCAAAACCCCUCUCUCGCGGGAGGCUUUGACGGGGCCGAAAUAGGAUCGACGAGCGUCUAAAGACGGUGUUUUCGCCCGGUUUGCCUCCGUUAUUUGGCUAAAACUGAAUAGUUGCCAACGACAACUACUCGGAAGAACUCGCUCUCGCUGCAUAACGCGGCUGAGCAGUUCGCUUGACUGAAGUCCUGACGCCCUUCCAAGCGUCAGGCGGGGCCCCCCGGCGCCUGGCAACAGAAGCCGGGGACU